Non-coding RNA from Ictidomys tridecemlineatus (thirteen-lined ground squirrel), 72 nucleotides. NCBI's taxonomy places the organism in Eukaryota, Metazoa, Chordata, Mammalia, Rodentia, Sciuridae. The record is from Rfam.
UGGAUUGUGGCUCAGCAGUAGAGCACUCGCCUUGCACAUGUGAGGCCCUGGGUUCGAUCCUCAGCACCACAU